This 655-nucleotide long non-coding RNA is filed under the name Carassius auratus (goldfish). Its description in RNAcentral is "lncRNA (ENSCARG00000023739.1)". Lineage: Eukaryota; Metazoa; Chordata; Actinopteri; Cypriniformes; Cyprinidae. The record is from RNAcentral.
UUACUCCCAAUAGUCACCCAGUAGUCAAAAGUUUGGCUAUGUGAGACUGUUUCCUUCCCUGCUGUCUGUCUGUCUCUCUCUUAUUCUCUCACUUCUCCCUUCUCAUCAGGGGUCAGCUGCACCAGCAGCGCUGUGAAGAGUGAACUUUGGUUAGUGAGGAGACUCAAGCCAAGAUGACCCGCAUGGCAGUGGCUGCAGCAUGGGGAUUGGUGCAUUGACAAAGCCAGAGAUCUGCUGGAUGCUCAGCUCACCACCAUUAUUGGAGACAGUUACAGUAGAGAAUAUGGGGCCAUGGUGUCCUAUCAGGUGUUGUCUUAGAUAGAGGAGGUGAUAUAAACUGGUUCCUGAGAGGAGGGUCAUCAUAAGAGAAACAUGGUGUGAGGGGCUGCAGGUACUUGCUGAGUUAAAGGAGUUUCGGAAUUAUAUAUGUAUAUCUCUAUAAUCUAAGAUAAAAUAUGAUUUAUUAUAAAAUAACUUUGCAAAUAUAAAUUUUUAAUUGUGUUACUACUUGUUGUCAUAUGAACAGUGAGUCAGUAGUAAUGCUUUUCAUUGAAGUUUCACAAAGAAAGGAUUCAUCAGACUGAUUCAAAACAAUAACUUCCAUCUGUUGCUGUUUUGUUCCUACAUCAAUAAUCCUGUCCUGACCUGGCUGAUG